RNAcentral lists this transfer RNA (75 nucleotides) under Podarcis lilfordi (Lilford's wall lizard). RNAcentral's name for it is "tRNA.Lys". The stretch from base 10 to 67 matches the Rfam family "tRNA", at positions 8 to 63 of the family's 71-position model. From Rfam's summary of the family: Transfer RNA (tRNA) molecules are approximately 80 nucleotides in length. Their secondary structure includes four short double-helical elements and three loops (D, anti-codon, and T loops). Further hydrogen bonds mediate the characteristic L-shaped molecular structure. tRNAs have two regions of fundamental functional importance: the anti-codon, which is responsible for specific mRNA codon recognition, and the 3' end, to which the tRNAs corresponding amino acid is attached (by aminoacyl-tRNA synthetases). tRNAs cope with the degeneracy of the genetic code in two manners: having more than one tRNA (with a specific anti-codon) for a particular amino acid; and 'wobble' base-pairing, i.e. permitting non-standard base-pairing at the 3rd anti-codon position. The record is from RNAcentral. Lineage: Eukaryota; Metazoa; Chordata; Lepidosauria; Squamata; Lacertidae.
GCUCAAGGAUAGCUCAGUCAGUAGAGCAUGGGACUCUUAAUCUCACGGUCACGGGUUCAAGCCUCAUGUUCAGCG